AUUGAACGCUGGCGGCAGGCCUAACACAUGCAAGUCGAACGGUAACAGGAAGAAGCUUGCUUCUUUGCUGACGAGUGGCGGACGGGUGAGUAAUGUCUGGGAAACUGCCUGAUGGAGGGGGAUAACUACUGGAAACGGUAGCUAAUACCGCAUAACGUCGCAAGACCAAAGAGGGGGACCUUCGGGCCUCUUGCCAUCGGAUGUGCCCAGAUGGGAUUAGCUAGUAGGUGGGGUAACGGCUCACCUAGGCGACGAUCCCUAGCUGGUCUGAGAGGAUGACCAGCCACACUGGAACUGAGACACGGUCCAGCCUCCUACGGGAGGCAGCGGUGGGGAAUAUUGCACCAUGGCCGCAAGCCUGAUGCAGCCACGCCGAGUGUAUGAAGAAGGCCUUCGGGUUGUAAAGUACUGUCAGCGGGGAGGAAGGGAGUAACGUUAAUACCUUUGCUGAUUGACGUUACCCGCAGAAGAAGCACCGGCUAACUCCGUG
RNAcentral lists this ribosomal RNA (490 nucleotides) under uncultured bacterium. RNAcentral describes it as "partial 16S ribosomal RNA". It matches the Rfam family "Bacterial small subunit ribosomal RNA", at positions 30 to 507 of the family's 1533-position model. The record is from RNAcentral.